CGUAGGCGGACAGUUUAGUCAGAGGUGAAAGCCCAGGGCUCAACCUUGGAAUUGCCUUUGAUACUGGCUGUCUUGAGUUCGGGAGAGGUGAGUGGAAUGCCGAGUGUAGAGGUGAAAUUCGUAGAUAUUCGGCGGAACACCAGUGGCGAAGGCGACUCACUGGCCCGAUACUGACGCUGAUGCGCGAAAGCGUGGGGAGCAAACAGGAUUAGAUACCCUGGUAGUCCACGCUGUAAACGAUGAGUGCUAGUUGUCGGCAUGCAUGCAUGUCGGUGACGCAGCUAACGCAUUAAGCACUCCGCCUGGGGAGUACGGUCGCAAGAUUAAA
This 328-nucleotide ribosomal RNA is filed under the name uncultured bacterium. RNAcentral's name for it is "bacterial SSU rRNA". It matches the Rfam family "Bacterial small subunit ribosomal RNA", at positions 570 to 898 of the family's 1533-position model. The record is from RNAcentral.